CAGAGCUUACAACUCACCAAACCAUUGUGAACCCUGCCUACCGUUGCUUCGGCGGGAGCCCCCCCGUGUCCGCCGUAACAGGCGGCCGAGGGGCGCCCCUAGACCCCCUGCGGGUGCCCGCCGAAGGAGUCCGAAACCCAGUCAGCACAUGGCCUCUCUGAGUAUGUUGCCGAAUAAGCAA
This 181-nucleotide unclassified non-coding RNA is filed under the name uncultured Ascomycota. RNAcentral's name for it is "sequence contains ITS1". The record is from RNAcentral. Lineage: Eukaryota; Fungi; Ascomycota.